GACGAACGCUGGCGGCGUGCCUAAUACAUGCAAGUAGAACGCACAGUUUAUACCGUAGCUUGCUACACCAUAGACUGUGAGUUGCGAACGGGUGAGUAACGCGUAGGUAACCUGCCUGGUAGCGGGGGAUAACUAUUGGAAACGAUAGCUAAUACCGCAUAAUAUUAAUUAUUGCAUGAUAAUUAAUUGAAAGGUGCAAUUGCACCACUACCAGAUGGACCUGCGUUGUAUUAGCUAGUAGGUGAGGUAACGGCUCACCUAGGCGACGAUACAUAGCCGACCUGAGAGGGUGAUCGGCCACACUGGGACUGAGACACGGCCCAGACUCCUACGGGAGGCAGCAGUAGGGAAUCUUCGGCAAUGGACGAAAGUCUGACCGAGCAACGCCGCGUGAGUGAAGAAGGUUUUCGGAUCGUAAAGCUCUGUUGUAAGAGAAGAAACGGGUGUGAGGAGUGGAAAAG
RNAcentral lists this ribosomal RNA (461 nucleotides) under Streptococcus gordonii. RNAcentral's name for it is "bacterial SSU rRNA". It matches the Rfam family "Bacterial small subunit ribosomal RNA", at positions 28 to 465 of the family's 1533-position model. Lineage: Bacteria; Bacillati; Bacillota; Bacilli; Lactobacillales; Streptococcaceae. The record is from RNAcentral.